Molecule: ribosomal RNA, 298 nt
Filed under: Escherichia coli
Lineage: Bacteria; Pseudomonadati; Pseudomonadota; Gammaproteobacteria; Enterobacterales; Enterobacteriaceae
Description: partial 16S ribosomal RNA
Rfam family: Bacterial small subunit ribosomal RNA
Source: RNAcentral
GUACGGCCGCAAGGUUAAAACUCAAAUGAAUUGACGGGGGCCCGCACAAGCGGUGGAGCAUGUGGUUUAAUUCGAUGCAACGCGAAGAACCUUACCUGGUCUUGACAUCCACGGAAGUUUUCAGAGAUGAGAAUGUGCCUUCGGGAACCGUGAGACAGGUGCUGCAUGGCUGUCGUCAGCUCGUGUUGUGAAAUGUUGGGUUAAGUCCCGCAACGAGCGCAACCCUUAUCCUUUGUUGCCAGCGGUCCGGCCGGGAACUCAAAGGAGACUGCCAGUGAUAAACUGGAGGAAGGUGGGG